AAUAUUUUUUUCUUUCAAAAAAAUUAUGAUAUCCUGUAUAAAUAUUAUGCCAUCUUGCAUUGAAAUUAUGACUUCCUAUAAAGGAUGUCAUAAUUUUUUUAUGGAAUGUCAAAAAGAAGAAAGAAUAUUUUCAUCGCUAAACGAGGUGGUGUGUUCCACGUUGGAUUUUUUAUACCGCAGGCGGUGUACAAAGAAUUCCUCUAAUAAUUGAUAAGUAGUAUCAAUUCAUUGGGCUUC
RNAcentral lists this long non-coding RNA (237 nucleotides) under Elaeis guineensis (African oil palm). RNAcentral's name for it is "long non-coding RNA (EGUI_LNC025631)". Lineage: Eukaryota; Viridiplantae; Streptophyta; Magnoliopsida; Arecales; Arecaceae. The record is from RNAcentral.